RNAcentral lists this ribosomal RNA (219 nucleotides) under Triticum aestivum (bread wheat). RNAcentral describes it as "partial small subunit ribosomal RNA". The record is from RNAcentral. Lineage: Eukaryota; Viridiplantae; Streptophyta; Magnoliopsida; Poales; Poaceae.
UAUGGUACCGACCUACCUCCAACCCACUAAAGGAAGGGACUGGAGCGGCGGAUCGGUGAGGUGGUGCUCGAAGAGCGGGGGUCGCCGCAUGUUCUGCAGGAGGAGGAGCUACGUCGGCAAGGGUUGCUCGAGAGAAACGGCUUUCUCCACGUCUUCGUUCAUGUCGUGGGGGAACCGGGGAUGUAGGACAGGAUGUAGCGGACGUGCUCGAGUGACUAC